Etheostoma cragini (Arkansas darter) is the source of this 371-nucleotide long non-coding RNA. RefSeq lists it as uncharacterized. The transcript is spliced from 2 exons. The record is from RefSeq and is a predicted model, not a curated record. NCBI's taxonomy places the organism in Eukaryota, Metazoa, Chordata, Actinopteri, Perciformes, Percidae.
UUUAACAGUUAGCUUGUACUGCACAUAAUUGACAUUUUAAAUUUAAUUAGUCCAAAUACAUAAUUUUUCACAAAUGGUUUCAUUAUAUGUACCAGGUUUAUUUCUAAAGUUGCAAAACACUUGACUGACUUCAAAUCAAAGAUACUGUAAAGCCCAAUGAAUAACAUCUCUUUUACACGAGUCGUAGUGUCUUGUUUAAAAUGUUGGUAGUCAUAACUUUCUUGAUGCUCAGCCGGGGUUUGCAUCCUGCUGAACUGGUGCAGUGGGGACAGUAGAGGCAUUUUGACAGAUCCCAGAAGAAAUCCUCUGACCCCAUGUCAGCCAGCCAAACAGAACUGUUGACUGACAACAUCUUGUACAAUCCAUGACAA